Molecule: small nuclear RNA, 197 nt
Organism: Hibiscus syriacus
Lineage: Eukaryota; Viridiplantae; Streptophyta; Magnoliopsida; Malvales; Malvaceae
Product: U2 spliceosomal RNA
Exons: 1
Source: RefSeq, a predicted model, not a curated record
AUACCUUUCUCGGCCUUUUGGCUAAGAUCAAGUGUAGUAUCUGUUCUUAUCAGUUUAAUAUCUGAUACGUGGGCCAUUGGUUCACAUGAUAUUAAAUUUAUUUUUUUGAGGGGGAGAUUUCAUCACAGUAGCUUGCUAUUGGGGAUCUCGAGCGUAGCCCACGCGUUGCACUAAAGCUCGGGCCUGGCGCAUCCCAC